Molecule: small nucleolar RNA, 104 nt
Organism: Grammomys surdaster
Lineage: Eukaryota; Metazoa; Chordata; Mammalia; Rodentia; Muridae
Product: small nucleolar RNA U13
Exons: 1
Source: RefSeq, a predicted model, not a curated record
AUCCUUUCUGGCUCAUAAAGCGUGAUGAUUGGGUGUUCACACCAUUGCAUGAUAUGUGCCACCUACAAACCUUGUUAAAACAUGGGCACAUUACCCAUCUGAUG